This 923-nucleotide long non-coding RNA is filed under the name Erythranthe guttata (spotted monkey flower). RNAcentral's name for it is "long non-coding RNA (EGUT_LNC001090)". Lineage: Eukaryota; Viridiplantae; Streptophyta; Magnoliopsida; Lamiales; Phrymaceae. The record is from RNAcentral.
UGGUAACUAAACGAAUUUAGUAACUUAAACGAAAUAAAACCAGAAAUUUAAACAUAUAAAUAUAUAUAUAGAUCGAAAAGACAUAGUUAUAUCUUACAUAAGGGAAAAUGGUCUUUCCGACUUACGACAAGCACUUUACCAUUAGAGUUAUAGCACAUCGGACCCUACUAUAUACAUAACAAAAGAGGGGGCCCGAUUUAUACGUAGUCUAGUCUAAUCAUCAUCAUCCUCCGAAGGGAGAAUCAUGUAGAAAAUAGCAAGAACGGUGUCCAAAAUCCUAGUAAGAAGUAAACAUAGGUAAAACCACAUAACCAACAUCAAAACAAUCGAAAGUUCUUCCAUAUGAGUAAUCUGGCCGGAGUCUCUUGUCAACACUGAAUCAACCCGAUUCGUCGAACUACCUUAAUUAUCUGCAAAAUAAACAGAUCUGUGUGAGCCUUUAUAGACUCAGCAAGAAUUUCGAAUAUUAACGAACUAUAAUUAAGAAUCGAACGGCAUAACAUAUAUAGAUAUAAGUUGCUUGUAUAAUCGGGUCAGCACAAUAAAAUCGUAUAAAUAUUACAACUUUUGUAGUUAUAACGAUUCUAUAGUUUUUAUAAUCUGCAUGUUAGUUUCUUUCCUUCUUUAAUCCCCAUGACUCCUUAAUCUGCAAGAAUAUUCAUAUAACAAACAUAGAUGACAUAUAUGGAAAUAUAAUUUGGAUCCAUUGGGAAUUCAAUCAGAACAUCAAUAAUAAACGUCAAUUUCUGAACCCGAUCGACGUGGAAUCAAACCACACAUUUUUAUUCUAUAGUUAGAGCACCGGUCCCCCAUGCUCGUGUUUAUUCAAUAUCUACUCUGAGUGAUUUCCCAAUAUUUUUGAGUUUUCGAAAAAUGAUGCAAAUGGUUAGACAAACGAUCAUCAGUCUUAUUAUUACCUUAAU